UAUAUAAAAUGCUGUAGGUAUCCUAUAUAAAAUGCUGUAGGUAUCCUAUAUAAAAUGCUGUAGGUAUCCUAUAUAAAAUGCUGUAGUUUUCUAUAACAUGCUGUAGUUAUCAACUUUGUUACAGCUAUCUAUGUUAUGGUGUAGUUAUCCUGUAAUGAUCUGUACAUGUAGAUACAAGAAGGAAACAAAAUGUUGCUGAAUUCCAUAUUGAUUGUCCCAGCUAUUUUUUUGUAUUAUUACUUUGUGUUUGUGUGUCAAUAUCCUUAUACAUGUACAGUAGUCAUGGACAGUUCUUGUCCUAUAUUUUGUGAUAUUUUGUACAAAAUAUGUUUAAUGUUUACAUGGUGAACAAAGAGCUUUAUUUUGAAAAUAUUAUCAUUAUGAAAUGAAGUCUGAUUUUGUUUGAUUCGCUUUUAAUAAUGCAAUGAAAAAAAUAAUCAAGUGCUUUAGUGACCUUGUUUAUGACCAGAUGUUAUCAGAUAAAUGGCCCUGUUGUUAUAAUACUAUGUACAUUUACUCUCUUAUACUAUAAGUGUGACUUUGCCAUGUCGCCAAAUGAAUUACUGCUGACAAACACACUAAACAUUGUGACAUUAUAUGUUGUGUACAGCUACAUAAUUAAUUCUCUGUAAGUGUGGUUUUAUACCUGUACAUAGUGUAAAUACAUGGUGUAAUAUUUCUCCGUGAGUGUGGAUACAUGGUGUAAUAUUUCUCCGUGUGUGUGGAUAAAUGGUGUAAUAUUUCUCUGUGAGUGUGGUUUUAAUUACCUGUACAUAGUGUGGAUGCAUGGUGUAAUAUUCCUCUGUGAGUGUAAAUACAUGGUGUAAUAUUUCUCCGUGAGUGUGGAUACAUGGUGUAAUAUUUCUCCGUUGUGUGGAUACAUGGUGUAAUAUUUCUCUGUGAGUGUGGAUACAUGGUGUAAUAUUUCUCCGUGUGUGGAUGCAUGGUGUAAUAUUUCUCUGUGAGUGUAAAUACAUGGUGUAAUAUUUCUCUGUGAGUGUAAAUACAUGGUGUAAUAUUUCUCUGUGAGUGUAAAUACAUGGUGUAAUAUUUCUCUGUGAGUGUAAAUACAUGGUGUAAUAUUUCUCUGUGAGUGUGAAUACAUGGUGUAAUAUUUCUCUGUGAGUGUAAAUACAUGGUGUAAUAUUCCUCUGUGAGUGUGGAUACAUAGUGUAAUAUUUCUGUGUGAGUGUAAAUACAUGGUGUAAUAUUUCUCUGUGAGUGUAAAUACAUGGUGUAAUAUUUCUGUGUGAGUGUAAAUACAUGGUGUAAUAUUUCUGUGUGAGUGUAAAUACAUGGUGUAAUAUUCCUCUGUAAGUGUUGAUAAAUGGUGUAAUAUUUCUCUGUGUGUGUGGAUACAUGGUGUAAUAUUUCUCUAUUAGUGUGGAUACAUUGUGUAAUAUUUCUCUGUGUGUGGAUACAUGGUGUAAUAUUUCUCUGUAAGUGUGGAUACAUGGUGUAAUAUUUCUCUGUAAGUGUGGAUACAUGGUGUAAUAUUCCUCUGUGUGUGUGGAUACAUUGUGUAAUAUUUCUCUGUGUGUGGAUACAUGGUGUAAUAUUUCUCUGUGAGUGUGGAUACAUGGUGUAAUAUUCCUCUGUAAGUGUUGAUAAAUGGUGUAAUAUUUCUCUGUGUGUGUGGAUAAAUGGUGUAAUAUUUCUCCGUGUGUGGAUGCAUGGUGUAAUAUUUCUCCGUGAGUGUGGUUUUAAUUACCUGUACAUAGUGUGGAUGCAUGGUGUAAUAUUCCUCUGUGAGUGUAAAUACAUGGUGUAAUAUUUCUCUGUGAGUGUAAAUACAUGGUGUAAUAUUUCUCUGUGAGUGUGGAUACGUGGUGUAAUAUUUCUCCGUUGUGUGGAUACGUGGUGUAAUAUUUCUCUGUGAGUGUGAAUACAUGGUCUAAUAUUUCUGUGUGAGUGUAAAUACAUGGUGUAAUAUUGCUCCGUUGUGUGGAUACAUGGUGUAAUAUUUCUCUGUGAGUGUGGAUACAUGGUGUAAUAUUUCUGUGUGAGUGUAAAUACAUGGUGUAAUAUUGCUCCGUUGUGUGGAUACAUGGUGUAAUAUUUCUCUGUGAGUGUAAAUACAUGGUGUAAUAUUUCUCCGUUGUGUGGAUACAUGGUGUAAUAUUUCUCUGUGAGUGUGGUUAAAUGGUGUAAUAUUUCUCUGUAAGUGUGGAUAAAUGGUGUAAUAUUUCUGUGUGAGUGUAAAUACAUGGUGUAAUAUUUCUGUGUGAGUGUAAAUACAUGGUGUAAUAUUGCUCCGUUGUGUGGAUACAUGGUGUAAUAUUUCUCCGUUGUGUGGAUACAUGGUGUAAUAUUUCUCUGUGAGUGUCGAUACAUGGUGUAAUAUUUCUCCGUUGUGUGGAUAAAUGGUGUAAUAUUUCUGUGUGAGUGUAAAUACAUGGUGUAAUAUUUCUGUGUGAGUGUAAAUACAUGGUGUAAUAUUGCUCCGUUGUGUGGAUACAUGGUGUAAUAUUUCUCCAUUGUGUGGAUACAUGGUGUAAUAUUUCUCUGUGAGUGUAAAUACAUGGUGUAAUAUUUCUCUGUGAGUGUAAAUACAUGGUGUAAUAUUUCUCCGUGAGUGUAAAUACAUGGUGUAAUAUUUCUGUGUGAGUGUAAAUACAUGGUGUAAUAUUUCUGUGUGAGUGUAAAUACAUGGUGUAAUAUUGCUCCGUUGUGUGGAUACAUGGUGUAAUAUUUCUCCAUUGUGUGGAUACAUGGUGUAAUAUUUCUCCGUUGUGUGGAUACAUGGUGUAAUAUUUCUCUGUGAGUGUCGAUACAUGGUGUAAUAUUUCUCCGUUGUGUGGAUAAAUGGUGUAAUAUUUCUGUGAGUGUAAAUACAUGGUGUAAUAUUUCUGUGUGAGUGUAAAUACAUGGUGUAAUAUUUCUCUGUGAGUGCACAUGUAAAUACAUGGUAUAAUAUUUCUCUGUGAGUGUGGAUACAUGGUGUAAUAUUUCUCUGUGAGUGUGGGUACAUGGUGUAAUAUUUCUCUGUAAGUGUAAAUACAUGGUGUAAUAUUUCUGUGUGAGUGUAAAUACAUGGUGUAAUAUUUCUCCGUUGUGUGGAUACAUGGUGUAAUAUUUCUCCGUUGUGUGGAUACAUGGUGUAAUAUUUCUCUGUAAGUGUGAUUACAUUGUUUAAUUUAUCUCCUGGCGUGACAUUUUAAAGUACAGUAGUGACCAGUGCUGACCAAUAUGAUUGACAUGCAUAUUUCAUAUUUACUUCUCCUUGCAUGGUGUUGGUAUGUAUGGUUAUAAUAGAGGUCUAAUCUCAGUUUACAUCAAAAAGGAAAAUUCAUUUAACGUAUACAAUAUGUAAUAUCAUGUAGGAAAUAGACUUCCCAAAAUAUGUCCAUUACAAAGAGAUAUUAUCAUUUCAAAAGAAAAUACAUAAUUAUUUUUUUUAUUUUUCAUAAUAUUGUCGUGAUUAAGAAGAUCAAUUGUGUAUAGGUGAUGUCAUUGACAAAGUCAGAAUGAAGUAUGUCAUUGACAAAAUCAUGAGAUUAACAGGGUAACAUUUGUAUGACAGGUUCGUCAAUUUUUUUCUGAACUUUUUGAUCAAAAAUUGGAAAGUAUCUGAACAAUUAGACUUAACCAACUUUUCACUGGACUGAAAGGACUGAUAAGAUGUCUAAUACAGAAUUGGUGUAGCGAAAUGUAGUAUUUAACAGACAGUUACUUACUGACGUAGCUAAAUGUAGUAUUUAACAGACAGUUACUUACUGACGUAGCGAAAUGUAGUAUUUAACAGACAGUUACUUACUGACAUAGCUAAAUGUAGUAUUUAACAGACAGUUACUUACCGACGUAGCUAAAUGUAGUAUUUAACAGACAGUUACUUACUGACGUAGCGAAAUGUAGUAUUUAACAGACAGUUACUUACUGACAUAGCUAAAUGUAGUAUUUAACAGACAGUUACUUACUGACAUAGCUAAAUGUAGUAUUUAACAGACAGUUACUUACCGACGUAGCUAAAUGUAGUAUUUAACAGACAGUUACUUACUGACGUAGUGAAAUGUAGUAUUUUACCGACAGUUACUUACUGACGUAGCGAAAUGUAGUAUUUAACAGACAGUUACUUACUGACAUAGUGAAAUGUAGUAUUUAACAGACAGUUACUUACUGACAUAGUGAAAUGUAGUAUUUAACAGAUAGUUACUUACUGACGUAGCGAAAUGUAGUAUUUAACAGACAGUUACUUACUGACGUAGCGAAAUGUAGUAUUUAACAGACAGUUACUUACUGACGUAGCGAAAUGUAGUAUUUAACAGACAGUUACUUACUGACGUAGCGAAAUGUAGUAUUUAACAGACAGUUACUUACUGACGUAGCGAAAUGUAGUAUUUAACAGACAGUUACUUACUGACAUAGUGAAAUGUAGUAUUUAACAGACAGUUACUUACCGACGUAGCUAAAUGUAGUAUUUAACAGACAGUUACUUACCGACGUAGUGAAAUGUAGUAUUUAACAGACAGUUACUUACCGACGUAGUGAAAUGUAGUAUUUAACAGACAGUUACUUACCGACGUAGCGAAAUGUAGUAUUUAACAGACAGUUACUUACUGACGUAGCGAAAUGUAGUAUUUAACAGACAGUUACUUACUGACGUAGUGAAAUGUAGUAUUUAACAGACAGUUACUUACUGACGUAGUGAAAUGUAGUAUUUAACAGACAGUUACUUACUGAUGUAGCGAAAUGUAGUAUUUAACAGACAGUUACUUACCGACGUAGCGAAAUGUAGUAUUUAACAGACAGUUACUUACCGACGUAGUGAAAUGUAGUAUUUAACAGACAGUUACUUACUGACGUAGUGAAAUGUAGUAUUUAACAGACAGUUACUUACUGACGUACUUACUGACAUAGCGAAAUGUAGUAUUUAACAGACAGUUACUUACUGACGUAGUGAAAUGUAGUAUUUAACAGACAGUUACUUACUGACGUAGCGAAAUGUAGUAUUUAACAGACAGUUACUUACUGACGUAGCAAAAUGUAGUAUUUAACAGACAGUUACUUACUGACGUAGCAAAAUGUAGUAUUUAACAGACAGUUAAUUAUAUAUUGACAAAGCUAAAUGUAGUAUUAUACAUCUUUCUAGGGAGAUUAAGCUGUAAAUAUAUCUAAGUUGAUGCCAAAUAUGACUAAAUACAGAAUACCCCUGUACAUGUGGAGCCAUGGUAUCAAGUUCUGACAAAAACCUUGUACAGCCACAGUAUCUUGUUCAGACAGAAUAACCCUGUAAAGACACGUACAUAUACGUAUCUAGUUCUGACGGAAGAUCAUUGUGAAGCCUUGUAUGUAUUUCUGACAGAACAAACUUGUACAGUCACGGUAUCUAGCUCUGACGGAAUGACCUUGUAAACCCCCUGUAUCUAGCUCUGAUGGAAUGACCUUGUAAACCCCCUGUAUCUAGCUCUGAUGGAAUGACCUUGUAAACCCCCUGUAUCUAUAGCUCUGACGGAAUAACCUUGUAAACCCCCUGUAUCUAUAGCUCUGACGGAAUGAACAUGUAAACCCCCUGUAUCUAGCUCUGACGGAAUGAACAUGUGAACCCCCUGUAUCUAGCUCUGACGGAAUGACCUUGUAAACCCCCUGUAUCUGGCUCUGACGGAAUGACCUUGUAAACCCCCUGUAUCUAGCUCUGACGGAAUGACCUUGUAAAUCCCCUGUAUCUAGCUCUGACGGAAUGACCUUGUAAAUCCCCUGUAUCUAGCUCUGACGGAAUGAACAUGUAAACCCCCUGUAUCUAGCUCUGACGGAAUGACCUUGUAAACCCCCUGUAUCUAGCUCUGACGGAAUGACCUUGUAAACCCCCUGUAUCUAGCUCUGACGGAAUGACCUUGUAAACCCCCUGUAUCUAGCUCUGACGGAAUGCCCUUGUAAACCCCCUGUAUCUAGCUCUGACGGAAUGACCUUGUAAACCCCCUGUAUCUAGCUCUGACGGAAUGCCCUUGUAAACCCCCUGUAUCUAGCUCUGACGGAAUGACCUUGUAAACCCCCUGUAUCUAGCUCUGACGGAAUGACCUUGUAAACCCCCUGUAUCUAGCUCUGACGGAAUGACCUUGUAAACCCCCUGUAUCUAGCUCUGACAGAAUGACCUUGUAAACCCCCUGUAUCUAGCUCUGACGGAAUGACCUUGUAAACCCCCUGUAUCUAGCUCUGACGGAAUGACCUUGUAAACCCCCUGUAUCUAGCUCUGACGGAAUGAACAUGUAAACCCCCUGUAUCUAGCUCUGACAGAAUGACCUUGUAAACCCCCUGUAUCUAGCAUAUGGUAUAUAUGUUGACAUGGAGGCAAAAUUUCUUUCCCUUCCCAAAAAUGUCGGCACAAACUGAACAAAGUUAGUUUAAACAGAUACAAUAUAUAUAUAUAUAUAUAUACAUAUUAGAAUAUCUUUGACAAAUUAAGUAUUCACAAUUCCAUUGCUCUGUAGAGGUAAUCAUUAGGACAGCAUACACUAGUCAUAUAUCAGACAGAAACGUUGUAAAUUAUCUAUAAAUCAGUUGUAUAUACAAUAUUUUAUUUGUAAUUCAUGCUCCUUACAAAGUUGUUAUACAGCUGAUAUACCAUUUGCGAAUUUUGUCACUAAAGUCCGGUCUGAAUCUCAGGGUAUCGUACUGCUAUAGUAAUACUAGUCGGGAAUUUGUUGUCUGUGUUAUGGUAUACGUAGCCUACAGAUAAUCAAAUUCCCUGUACACGGCCUAUUGUCUGUAGACAUUACACCAUAUACUGAAUAUAUAUAUAUAUAUAUACUGCAUAUACUUAUUUUAUGUUUCAUUAUGUAACUUGCUGUUUUGUUAGAAUGAAUCAGUAUUAAUGAGACAGGCUGUAACGGUCUGGUGGUAACAAUCAGGUUAUAACUCAAAUAUUGAUGAUGUUUAUCCGGCGGGAUUUGACGGGUAGUAAGAAUUGGUAUAUGAUGAGGCAGAUGAAAAAACUUGCCCCAGACAUUACAGGUGGUCAAUUACGAGGAGAUAGGUGGUAAAAAUUUGGCACAUGAUGAGACAAUAGUGACAAAAAUCGUGACAAGUGGUUAACAUUUUGGGUUAUGACGAGACAGAUGGUAAAAUUUAGGUAUUGUUUGAUGACACGUGGUAAACAUUCGGUGUAUGGCAGACAGAUGGUAUGAUUUUAGUCUAUGACGAGACAGAUGGUAAUUGGUAUAUGCCAAAUUAAAGAGAUCAUGAGAUUCGGUAGGAGACGUAAAAUAUCGGUCAAUGACGAAGCAAAUGGUAAAACAUUUGGACAAUAACGAGGCAGGUGGUAAAUUUUGGUCUGUUGGUCAAAUCCAAACAAAACAUGCAUGGGAUUACAGUAUUAUGUUGUGACAACUCCAAUCGCUAUGGAUUUUCCUCAAACCCCGGAAAGGGUACUUUGUAGAUUGGGAAAAAAUCACUCGGUGCUCCCAAAGAAACAAACCUGUGACAAUCAGCAUAUAUGCUGUGUGAUGAAUUUAACCAUAAUUGAUCUGAGAAGUUAAUUGAAUUAAUGCUACUUAAAGUGUGGUCACAUGAUUUGUCAAUGUACACCUGGAAACAGGCAGGUAAUUCUGAAAUAUACUAAUUUAUAUGUCAGCAUUUCAAAUGUAUGUGAAAACUCAUUGGUAGCCAACUGUCUUCUAUAAGCUUUACGUUAGAAAAUCGUUUAAAAAACAAUUGAGAUGUAUCUUUCAUUUGAUCAAAGAAGAUACAAACCACUCGAGAUGAAAAAAAAAAAUCUUCUGCAACAAUUUUUGGAACAAAAUGUUUUUAGACGAAAGAAAUCUUUAUAUAUACAUUAACUGUUUAUAUUUUACUAGUGGAAUGUGCAUUUGUGUUGUAGAUCACGGUUGAGAGGUGAGGAUGAAAAACUCACAUGGGAAAUAUAUUUCAUAAAAUAUUUGAGUUGAAAUGUAAAUAUCACAUGUACAGGAAUAAUAAUGAUUUUAGUGUCAGCUAUAAAUCAUAGUGACAUUAAUUAUUUAUGUAUAAUACUAUGCAUUGUAAAUACAAGCAUUGUUGUAGAACAUCCUACUUUUAUCAUUCCCGUUUUAUACCGAUAUGUCCAAGUGAAGGUCGUAGGUAUGUGUAUACCGAUAUGUCCAAGUGAAGGUCGUAGGUAUGUGUAUACCGAUAUGUCCAAGUGAAGGUCGUAGGUAUGUGUAUACCGAUAUGUCCAAGUGAAGGUCGUAGGUAUGUGUAUACCGAUAUGUCCAAGUGAAGGUCGUAGGUAUGUGUAUACCGAUAUGUCCAAGUGAAGGUCGUAGGUAUGUGUAUACCGAUAUGUCCAAGUGAAGGUCGUAGGUAUGUGUAUACCGAUAUGUCCAAGUGAAGGUGGUAGGUAUGUGUAUACUGAUAUGUCCAAGUGAAGGUCGUAGGUAUGUGUAUACUGAUAUGUCCAAGUGAAGGUCGUAGGUAUGUGUAUACUGAGAUAUGUCCAACUGAAGGUCGUAGGUAUGUGUAUACUGAUAUGUCCAAGUGAAGGUCGUAGGUAUGUGUAUACUGAGAUAUGUCCAAGUGAAGGUCGUAGGUAUGUGUAUACUGAGAUAUGUCCAACUGAAGGUCGUAGGUAUGUGUAUACUGAUAUGUCCAAGUGAAGGUCGUAGGUAUGUGUAUACCGAUAUGUCCAAGUGAAGGUCGUAGGUAUGUGUAUACUGAUAUGUCCAACUGAAGGUCGUAGGUAUGUGUAUACUGAGAUAUGUCCAACUGAAGGUCGUAGGUAUGUGUAUACCGAUAUGUCCAAGUGAAGGUCGUAGGUAUGUGUAUACUGAUAUGUCCAAGUGAAGGUCGUAGGUAUGUGUAUACUGAUAUGUCCAAGUGAAGGUCGUAGGUAUGUGUAUACUGAUAUGUCCAACUGAAGGUCGUAGGUAUGUGUAUACUGAGAUAUGUCCAAGUGAAGGUCGUAGGUAUGUGUAUACUGAUAUGUCCAAGUGAAGGUCGUAGGUAUGUGUUGUAGAUAUUUUAGGUUUGUUAGAGUACACAUUUGUAUGAACAGUCACGUGUUUACAUUAUUAUUGCUAUAUUCGAUCUCUAUUUUUUAAUUAUCACACAUUUUUAAUAAAUAAAAUGACCACAGUGAA
This is a long non-coding RNA of Pecten maximus, 9050 nucleotides long. RefSeq lists it as uncharacterized. Lineage: Eukaryota; Metazoa; Mollusca; Bivalvia; Pectinida; Pectinidae. The record is from RefSeq and is a predicted model, not a curated record. The transcript is spliced from 3 exons.